RNAcentral lists this ribosomal RNA (253 nucleotides) under uncultured bacterium. RNAcentral describes it as "partial 16S ribosomal RNA". It matches the Rfam family "Bacterial small subunit ribosomal RNA", at positions 524 to 776 of the family's 1533-position model. The record is from RNAcentral.
UACGUAGGGUGCAAGCGUUGUCCGGAAUUAUUGGGCGUAAAGAGCUCGUAGGCGGUUUGUCGCGUCUGCUGUGAAAACUCGAGGCUCAACCUCGGGCCUGCAGUGGGUACGGGCAGACUAGAGUGCGGUAGGGGAGAUUGGAAUUCCUGGUGUAGCGGUGGAAUGCGCAGAUAUCAGGAGGAACACCAAUGGCGAAGGCAGAUCUCUGGGCCGUAACUGACGCUGAGGCGCGAAAGCCAGGGGAGCAAACGGG